This 118-nucleotide ribosomal RNA is filed under the name Sarcina ventriculi. Lineage: Bacteria; Bacillati; Bacillota; Clostridia; Eubacteriales; Clostridiaceae. RNAcentral also lists the same sequence under 1 other name. The record is from RNAcentral.
UCUAGUGAUUAUGCUCUUUAAGGUAACACCCGUUUCCAUUCCGAACACGAAGGUUAAGCUUUUAGAGGCCGAUAGUACUGCAUAGGGAACUGUGUGGGAGGGUAGGUGAUUGCUAGGU